UACAACAUAGUGUUAAUGCACCAGAUCCCAUUAGAACUCUGGAGUUAAGCACGCUCAUGCUAGAGUAGUAUUGGUAUGGGUGCCCACUCGAGAAUUCCCAGUGUUUUAC
Molecule: non-coding RNA, 109 nt
Organism: Picea glauca (white spruce)
Lineage: Eukaryota; Viridiplantae; Streptophyta; Pinopsida; Pinales; Pinaceae
Source: Rfam